This 943-nucleotide ribosomal RNA is filed under the name Rhizophagus irregularis. Its description in RNAcentral is "eukaryotic LSU rRNA". It matches the Rfam family "Eukaryotic large subunit ribosomal RNA", at positions 1 to 801 of the family's 3401-position model. Lineage: Eukaryota; Fungi; Glomeromycota; Glomeromycetes; Glomerales; Glomeraceae. The record is from RNAcentral.
GACCUCAAAUCAGGUAGGAACACCCGCUGAACUUAAGCAUAUCAAUAAGCGGAGGAAAAGAAAAUAACAAUGAUUCCCCUAGUAACUGCGAGUGAAGAGGGACAAGCUCAAAUUUUAAAUCUGUCGGGUUUUACCUGAUCGAGUUGUAAUUUGAAGAAGCGUUUUCUGCGUAUUUGGUCAGCCCAAGUCCUAUUGAAUGAGGCAUCAUGGAGGGUGAUAAUCCCGUCCGGUUGAUCAUUGCGUUUUAUGAUACGCUUUCUAAGAGUCAAGUUGUUUGGGAUUGCAGCUUAAAAUGGGAGGUAAAUUUCUCCUAAGGCUAAAUAACGGCGAGAGACCGAUAGCGAACAAGUACCGUGAGGGAAAGAUGAAAAGAACUUUGAAAAGAGAGUUAAACAGUACGUGAAAUUGUUGAAAGGGAAACGAUUGAAGCCAGUCGUACCUAUGGGUAAUCAGCCUUUUGGGUGUGAUUUUGUGGAGCGUGAAGAGUUAAACGCCUUCAUGCCUGCAUAUUCGUGCACUUUGGGUGUACUUGCCCGUGUGUAAGUUAACAUCAAUUUUGGUGGUCAUAAAAUGGCUGGAGGAAUGUAGCUUCGAUCUUGUAUUGAAGUGUUAUAGCCUUCGGUAGAUGUGACGAUCGGGAUUGAGGAUUGCAACGGAUACCCUUCGGGGCUACCUGUCUGAUCUCUGAUUGUUGCUCUGGUACCGAAAGCUUGCUUACGGUUAUCAAAGUCGAUGGUCAAUAGGUUAGAACGGGUUAAAUUCGUUAAGGAUGUUGACGUAAUGGCUUUAAACGACCCGUCUUGAAACACGGACCAAGGAGUCUAACAUAUAUGCGAGUGUUAGGGUGAAUAAACCCUUACGCGUAAUGAAAGUAAUUUUGGUGGGAUCACUUUUGUGCACCAUCGACCGAUCAGGAUAUUUUUUGAUAGAUUUGAGUAAGAGC